CUCGGAUAUGCUAUCUGGGAAUGCCAAUUGUACCAGCAGUCACUGAGCUUCUUGUUGCUCAGUUUAUGUAUUUGGAUUAUGAUGACUCUUCAAAGCCUAUAUAUCUGUACAUAAACUCAUCUGGGACACAGAAUGAGAAGAUGGAAACUGUUGGUUCUGAAACAGAGGCAUAUGCCAUUGCUGAUGCCAUGGCUUAUUGCAAAUCAACUGUCUAUACCGUGAAUUGUGGCAUGGCAUAUGGUCAAGCAGCAAUGCUUCU
RNAcentral lists this unclassified non-coding RNA (259 nucleotides) under Hevea brasiliensis (rubber tree). Lineage: Eukaryota; Viridiplantae; Streptophyta; Magnoliopsida; Malpighiales; Euphorbiaceae. The record is from RNAcentral.